UGGGGAAUAUUGGACAAUGGGCGAAAGCCUGAUCUAGCAACACCGCGUGUGCGAAGAAGGCCUUCGGGUCGUAAAGCACUUUUUGGAAGGAAUAGGAAGGAAUGUACUUCCAGAAUAAGUCUCGGCUAACUACGUGCCAGCAGCCGCGGUAACACGUAGGAGGCAAACGUUAUCCGGAUUUACUGGGCGUAAAGCGCGUGUAGGUGGUACUGUAAGUAGGGCGUGAAAGCUCCUGGCUCAACUGGGAGAGGCCGUUCUAAACUACAGAACUAGAGGAUGGUAGAGGGAGGUGGAAUUCCAGGUGUAGCGGUGGAAUGCGCAGAUAUCUGGAGGAACACCGGUGGCGAAGGCGGCCUCCUGGACCAUUCCUGACACUCAGACGCGAAAGCUAGGGUAGCAAACG
RNAcentral lists this ribosomal RNA (403 nucleotides) under uncultured prokaryote. RNAcentral describes it as "bacterial SSU rRNA". It matches the Rfam family "Bacterial small subunit ribosomal RNA", at positions 355 to 774 of the family's 1533-position model. The record is from RNAcentral.